Molecule: transfer RNA, 82 nt
Filed under: Spraguea lophii 42_110
Lineage: Eukaryota; Fungi; Microsporidia; Spragueidae
Rfam family: tRNA
About the family: Transfer RNA (tRNA) molecules are approximately 80 nucleotides in length. Their secondary structure includes four short double-helical elements and three loops (D, anti-codon, and T loops).
Source: Rfam by way of RNAcentral
GUCAGUAUGGCCGAGUGGUUAAGGCGCCAGACUUGAAAUCUGGUGGGAAUUUCCCGCGUAGGUUCAAAUCCUGCUGCUGACG